GAUUAACGCUGGCGGCGUGCAUAACACAUGCAAGUCGAACGAUGAAACUUAAAUGAUUUCUUCGGAAUGAACUUAAGUGGAUUAGUGGCGGACGGGUGAGUAACGCGUGAGUAACCUGCCUUACACAAGGGGAUAGCCGUUGGAAACGACGAAUAAUACCCUAUGAAACUAUCACUUCGCAUGAAGCGAUAGUCAAAGUGUUAGCGGUGUAAGAUGGACUUGCGUCUGAUUAGCUAGUUGGUGAGAAAAAAGCCCACCAAGGCAACGAUCAGUAGCCGGCUUGAGAGAGUGUACGGCCACAUUGGGACUGAGACACGGCCCAGACUCCUACGGGAGGCAGCAGUGGGGAAUUAUGCACAAUGGGGGAAACCCUGAUGCAGCGACGCCGCGUGAUUUAGAAGGCCUUCGGGUUGUAAAAAUCUUUUGUAUAGGAAGAAAAUGACAGUACUAUACGAAUAAGGUCCGGCUAAUUACGUG
This 477-nucleotide ribosomal RNA is filed under the name uncultured bacterium. RNAcentral describes it as "partial 16S ribosomal RNA". It matches the Rfam family "Bacterial small subunit ribosomal RNA", at positions 28 to 507 of the family's 1533-position model. The record is from RNAcentral.